This is an RNA transcript of Musa acuminata AAA Group (dessert banana), 950 nucleotides long. RefSeq lists it as uncharacterized. The record is from RefSeq and is a predicted model, not a curated record. The transcript is spliced from 2 exons. Lineage: Eukaryota; Viridiplantae; Streptophyta; Magnoliopsida; Zingiberales; Musaceae.
CCGAAUCGAAACCCUCGUCGCAUUGCCCGAUACUUUCUCGAUCUUCAAUCCAAUGGCGACUACGAAGAAGAGCAAGCCGCAGCCGCCGCCCGAGUCGAAGGAAUCGGAAGAAGAACCCAUCGCCACGGCUGGGGAGAAGAAGAGGAAGAAGAAGCCGGGCAAUGAGAUCGAUGAGAUUUUCCAAGGAAAGAAGGCCAAGAAGAGCAAGACGUCCGCCGCGGGCGAAGAAGAAGCACGGGAGAAAGGAAAGAAGCAGGCUAAGGGAACGGGGGAGGGCGGUGGUAGUAAGAAGACGAAGGAUAAGACGAAGAAGAGGCGGGAAGUGUCUUUGGAUGAAGGCUCCGAGGCACGGGCGCGGCGGAGGAAAACGGGGGACGGGCUCGCCAUUUACUCGGCCGAGGAGCUCGGUUGGGGGAACUCGGAAUCAGGGGGAACCCCUCUUUGCCCUUUCGACUGUUCCUGCUGCUUCUGAUCCUCUGAAGAUCUCAACAAGAUGAGGCCCAGUAUGCAUGUGAUAUGACUGUGUUGAGCUGACAGUGGUGCUACAGAAUGAUGCUGGCUUUGGAGCUUCAUGGCUUUAUCUCAGUUAAGACUUGGUAGGCAAGAAGGAGAUGCUAAUAAGAUCAAGUUUUGAGUUUGGAGUAGGAAUUUGUGCUGUGUAUUUGCACCUUGUCUGGUUGUCAUUUUGAUGGAUUCUCAAUUCAUUCCAAGCUUCUAAUUUGUGAGUACUGUUUUGGAUGAGAGAGCAAGAAGAGAUCCUGCUAGGUUUUUUUUGUUGUGUUGCACCACCAUACCUGACAGUGGAGCCUCAUGGCUUUAUCUCAGUUGGUAGGCAAGAUGGAGAUGCUAAUAAGAUCGAGUUUCGAGUUUGGAGUAGGAAUUUGUGAUGUGUAUUUACACCUUGUAUGGUUAUCAUUCUGAUGGAUUCUCAAUUCAUUCCAAGCUUCUAA